This 223-nucleotide long non-coding RNA is filed under the name Phoenix dactylifera (date palm). RNAcentral describes it as "long non-coding RNA (PDAC_LNC018943)". The record is from RNAcentral. Lineage: Eukaryota; Viridiplantae; Streptophyta; Magnoliopsida; Arecales; Arecaceae.
AGAGAGAGAGAGAGACAAAUAAAGAAAAAGAUUGCUUCUAAACUUAUACAAUCUAAACCCUCCACCCCGUUCUCUCUCUCUCUCUCUCUCUGAGUCCUGCCGCUAUAAAUAGUAAGUAGUCGGUGUCUGGGGUUAUAAACUUGCUUUGGCGACAUAAGUGAGAGGAUUUUGGAGUUCCGAAAUUUUCUAAGAGAAAGACAGAGAGAGAGAGAGAGAGAGAGAG